Molecule: long non-coding RNA, 1434 nt
Organism: Ostrea edulis (European flat oyster)
Lineage: Eukaryota; Metazoa; Mollusca; Bivalvia; Ostreida; Ostreidae
Exons: 3
Source: RefSeq, a predicted model, not a curated record
AGAUAUGUGCAACCAAUACAUAUCUAAGGCUACAGUUCAAGUUGAAUUUUCUUAUUAUUUAACCCGAAUAAGUUUACAACCCCACUCUUCCAUUCAGAAUCAAGUAACAUUUCUAAAAUAUUUAAUAUGUUAUUUCAGGCACAGGGGUCUGACAUACAAUAUCGAAGGCAAACCCAGUGGAGACGAAAAGGGUGAUCAAUUGGACAAUUAUAUUCCUCAAUAUGUUUCAUUAGAUGAUCUGCAACAUGGACACUUUCAUCUCAUUUAUGCUCACCCAGAGACUCUUAUACGUAAUCAUACCAUAUCUACCACGCAAAGAUCAAAAACCUAUAAGGAGAAUGUGUGUGUCAUUGUUGUUGAUGACGUCCACAUGAUCUCAGAAUGGGGGCCAGAUUUUCGGACAGCCUUUUUCCAUUACCAACAUCUGUACACUUGGCUCUCACAGCAACAGCAACAAGAAUGGUCGUAACAGAUCUGACAAAGGAGUUAUGUCUUGCAGAUCCAGUCAUUGUAUCAUCAAACCCAGAUCGUCCAAACAUAUUCAUUGAGGUAUGUCUUGGCCUUCCAAAUGUGAACAAGAUGGACAAACUGGAUGCUGCAUUGAAGAUUAACUUCAAGAUAACGCAUACCACCCAAAGACUGAGAAGACUCCAGAAAAUCGAAGUUUUGAACAAUUUCAUAAGGACUACACAUUAAGAAUGAAAGCUCACAUUGUUGAUGAACUAAGAAAAUCUAACCCAAAGCUUCGCCUUAUAUUUGCUACAGUUGCUUUGGGAAUGGGGCUAAAUUCCCCUUGUAUUAGUUCAGUGAUACAUUUCCGACCUCCUACAACACUGGAAAAGUAUUUCCAGGAGAUAGGUAGAGCUGGUAGAAAUAGUCAACCUGCAAAUGCCAUAAUGUACUCUAAUAUGAGUGAUCUAGCUUCCAAUAGGAAAGGGCUUCUUUCACCUUCGAUGAGAGAAUUCUGUUUGAACAGUACAACAUGCUUAAGAAAACAAAUUGUAAAUCAUUUUGGUUUCGAUUCUGUUCUGUAUAAUGGAGAAAUCAACAUGUGCUGUUCAAAUUGUAGAACAGGAUGAAGUACACGAUAUAUUUAUUUUCUGUUGUUAUCUGGAUCUUAAGGUAUGAAUAAUGUCUAAUGAUCAUAUUUCAUAAAUGUAUGGUGGGGUAUUUGUAAUCAUGGUUUCAUUGUGAUGAGUUUAUUAAACAAAGAUAUUCCAUCAUGGGAUUUUUAAAAUUUUGCUUAUUGAUUGAUUUUUUUUAAUAUUCACCAAUUUUUAAUCUUCUUCUGUUAUACAUUGAAUACCGUUAAGACAAGGAUACAGUGGACUACACUGUACACUUUUAGAUCUGUUCAUUAUGUCAUAUGUUUAAACAUCAGCCUUCAACUCGACAUUGAUAUUUUGACCUUUAGAAUUAAAAUUCAUAAUUUGU